CUAGUAAUCGCGCAUCAGCCACGGCGCGGUGAAUACGUUCCCGGGCCUUGUACACACCGCCCGUCAAGCCAUGGGAGCCGGGGGUACCUGAAGUGCGUAACCGCGAGGAGCGCCCUAGGGUAAAACUGGUGACUGGGGCUAAGUCGUAACAAGGUAUC
RNAcentral lists this ribosomal RNA (158 nucleotides) under uncultured bacterium. RNAcentral describes it as "partial 16S ribosomal RNA". It matches the Rfam family "Bacterial small subunit ribosomal RNA", at positions 1335 to 1500 of the family's 1533-position model. The record is from RNAcentral.